Molecule: non-coding RNA, 6985 nt
Organism: Taeniopygia guttata (zebra finch)
Lineage: Eukaryota; Metazoa; Chordata; Aves; Passeriformes; Estrildidae
Source: RefSeq, a predicted model, not a curated record
UUUGUGUUUUUUUGUUUGUUUGUUUUUUGUGUUUGAGUGUUUUACUGCUACCAUCAAAGUCUCUGUAACUAUCAUGUAACAGUGAUUCCUUUCCACACAGGGGGUGUGCUGCAGGAAAGAAGAAAUUUUACAGCUGCCUAUUGCUCGUGGAAGUAUUAUGUAGAUGUCUCCAAACAUAAAGACAAUUCUGCAAAGCACUGUCAUGCAACUUUUCCAUUGCCUCUGAGAAAAGCACCUUUGUUAUAUUGGAUUAUAUUUCUACAUUUGGUUAUAUUUCUACACAAUUUUGUGACAGUCAUAGCAGAUAAACAUUAUCAGAGGCAUAGUGGACAAAGCUGUCAUCCUUAAAGUGAUGCUGAAGCCAUCCUAGAGGCAACUUGUACAUAAAAUAAAUAGGAAAAAAAAAAAUCAGUACAUAGAAUUGCCUUAGGAGCCUACAUACUAUACUCUCAGAAGUGAAUUAGGUACCUAGAUGGCAGAGUUCUGUUGAUCUAGGAGAUUUAGGCUGCAGGGUUAAAAAUGUCACCAGUAAAACUGAUAUUCAAUAUUUUUAGAAGGGAUUUGUUACUUUACAGAAAUACAAAUCCAUUGUAUUAGAAUACAAAAUAAAAUUAGAAUAAAAUAAAAUAUCAGCCAAAUGGAAGGGGACUUGCUUUGUUGCUCCCCUGAUUUCAAUAAAAAAAUAAAGAAGUCUCACAACAGUCCAACUAUAAUGUUGUGAAAUCAGUACUGAGGUAGUUGUGUAAAUGUUUUAAGUACAAAUGAGCAAACAAACCAAACAAACACAGCAACCCUGCGCCAGACAAGGAUCCCUAAAUAGCAAAGCCAUGUAUUUAUCUGGAAGACAGCCUGAGAAGCAAAGCAAGCCUGCCCACAGACUUGUUUCAGCUCAGUCCAAGAGGCUUUGGUUUCCAUGUACAUUGGAUUCUUGACCUCUGCGGUUUCAGCACCAAAAGCAGAAGGCAUGACUAGACUGUGGUUAGAAAGGAGAAGGCACUGAAGAGAAGGAUGAGGGCAGGUAUGAGGAACAAUGGUGUUUUUUCCUUCUGAUUCUGCACAAACCUUUACUUCUGUGAUGGAGCAGAAAGAUCUCUGCCUGGAUUUUCUUCUAUACCCAGAGCAGCUUCUUUUUUUAAUGGUGUUGUUUUGGGGUUUUUUUGUUUGUUUGUUUUUUGGGUUUUUUUUUUAAUGUUGUUGCUUUAAUUAGUACUUUUUCCUCAAGUAGCUUCCCCCAGGAGACAGGUACUUUCUGGACUCGGGGCAUGUUAUCCAACCCAAGUUAGUACUUCACUGACACUGCCCAAAUACUCUUAUUCAUGGGACACAAAACAAAGGGGGUAACUGAGCUGCCUUACACUUGUGACAAAUACUCUUUUUGUUCUCUGCUCUGCAUAUAAGGAACUACUCAACGAAUAAAUUACUCCCAAAGGGUGAUUUAUACACCAGGAGGAUUAUUGCACAGUCUCCAUUCUUGUUCAUGGAGAAAAGUGGUGCAGGAACGUAAGUGACUCUGUUUUGUAGCACCUGGGACAGAGAGGGUUUCUUCCUCUCAGAGAGAUCCCUAACAUCUUCCUCUUUCCUUUUUCUUUACAGGAAGUGUAGUUUUCAGGAAUUAAGUCAGCCACCAUAAAGACUAAUUUGCUGCCCUGAAAAGCCCAAGCUCUGAUUCUGUCUGCUCUGCAUGUUGUCACAGUAAAAACCAGAGGGCUGCUGGGUGGUUUUCACUUUGUAUUUAGUAGUGCUGUUUCCCAAAGCUGUAUGCAGAACUCCCAAACAGAUAUAGAAGGAACUAAAGAGGAGCAUGCAAGAUGACCUGUUUAUGAGAUGGAAGACUCCUUCUCAGCCCACAGCUUUGCAUGGCACAGCACUCACUCUACAGUACCUGUCCUGUCAGGCACAGAACACAGCGGCUCAAAUAACAGAGAAGAAACCACAAAAUUCCAGGAUCACUUUAGUCCUUCUGCUGUCCCAGACAUCGAAGAGUGGGAUGUUUCAGUUGCAGGGCAGCCUAAAAGCAGUGUCUAGGGAGAAAACUACAGAACUGCUCUUCAAAGUCUAUCCAGAGAUGACCUGGGGUAAAGGCCUUCCUUUUGUGCAGCAUCUGGUCAGACCUCUGCACACAGAAGCAACUCUUUAAAGGUCUUCAGGAAAGACUGCACUUGGACCUUGCCCUUUGGGGUCCUGUGGAGGGAGCACAAGGCUGCUUGGCCAAGAGAAUAGACCAGAAGAUGCAGCUGAGCAGAAUGAACAGCCUGGUAUGUGUUUACCAAAAAUUAUUUGUUUAGUUUCACAAAUCUUCAGAGACAUAUCCUCCAAACCACACUUGCAGCUUCUGGCUGCCUUUGGGCUGUCAAAAUGCCCAACCAUCCUUGUGAACCCUGCUAGUAAUCUCCACAGACAAAUGGCACAAUGUGUUUGAGGAAAGCAGCCAGUAUGAGAGUUCUAGGCUCAUUUUCCUUGAACACGAGUUUUCAGUCACACCAUCCUCUAGGGAAGGCUGAUGACUUAUGGAUGCUUUUCCCAAUCCAGCUAAAUUACUUAGUCCUAUCACCAUUAUUCUUCUAAUUGAGCAUUUGCUCUUCUGUUUGACUGGAACCAGCAGAAGUGAGAGCUGCUCACCACAUGGCUGAGAGGACCCACUAAGGUUUUCAGUACUGUAGGAAUGAAGAGCUUUAAGCAUUUACUUGCAUCUCAUAAUGGAAAACCUCCUUCCCGUUAUGCAUCUCUAGAGUGAGUGAAAAUUUAACUCAGCAGCCUCAUAUACAGAAAACGCUCAGUGAAACUGCUUCUGAGCAAAUCUUGCUGGGUUGGUCCUGAAAUUAGAAGGGUCCAUGUUGAGCAAAGAUAAAACUUGAGGCAGGGCAGAAAGACUAAUCACUUGGGAUUCUCCUUGUCUGUGCCUCAUGCCAAACCUGGGUCCUGCUGUUAGCAUUUUGCAUCUAACUGUUGUUCAGCUGAAUUUCUCACAUCACUGCUCCACCUGUUUAUUUGAUACAAUGUCAUUAAUGAAGUGCUUAGGUCAGAGGCUAAGCUGGAGGAAUGAUUUAGGCACAGGUCAGCAGGACUGAUGCAGACACUGCAAAUCUGCAGGGGAAGAUGACAACCUGGUUUUCACAAUUUUAACCAUGAAAAUCACAUCACAUGGGGUAAAAAUCCUUAGAGAGGAUCACAAAAUCAUGGCGCAAAGGAAGGGAAAAUAUUCUUCCUAUGAAGACUACUUCUCCCAAACUGCCCCCACUGAAAUACAUGGCAACCAGUAAAGUACAAGAGGGGAAAAAAAAAAAAAUUUCUCCAGUGUAUCAUAGGAAAUAUUAAUUAAUUGGAGCUCAUAAUUACUCUGAAAGCUUUUGCCUUAUUUUACAACUGGGAAGAAUAAGGCACAAAGCGGCUAAAUGAUUUGUCUAAUCUCACACCGUGAGUCAACAGCUGAGUCAGAAGGAAGAGCAGGGCCACUCUUCAUCAGAGCAGUGUUUGGGAGUUCCUUUGAUACUGUACUGAACCUCCCAAAAUGUCCAGCUUCUUCAAAACAAGUUGCAAAGAAAGUAGACAGAGGUCAGACAGUUUGAUCUGUGGUUGUCUAUUCCCGAAGUUGUCCUGGGUAGAAACUGUAGUGGUCUGUGCCCCAGUUAGUUUUGCAUUUUUAAAUCCUUUCUGCGUAAGUCUGUCCCAAUGAAACCCAGAAGGUUGAACAUGUGGAGUUGUGUCCUUAUUAAUUCCCUCUUCCACCUAGAAUAAGGCUGUUUAAAAAGUGGAAAUAGACAUUGGAUUGGAUUUUGUUGCUGCCUAAACUGAACCUCAAGUCACCACCUUCCGAGGAAUAAUCCCCAGUAAAUGUUACGCAGAAUGAACAGCAAUAAAAACUACAAACCUGAAAGGAUGGGGAAAGACUUGGAAGGAAAUAAAACAAGGACCUGCAAAGCCAAACAGCAUUACAAACUGGUACAUUUUAAAGGAACAACAAGAAAACAGAAGCUACACUGAUCAAAGCCUCCCCUCCUCUCUGUGGUGGAUGACACUUUCGCUGGGGGCACACCACCACCUCUAACCCCACACCUGCAAAAGGAAUUAAUUUCAAAAAGAAUACAGACCAAAGAGAACCAUAUCAAAACAAAUUAGCAACAGACCCUUCAUCCUGCUGUUGUCAGGCAGGACAGGCAGAGAUGCUCACAGUUGCUAAGAUUCAGGGGGAAAAAAGACAAAACAAAACCAACUCCUCCCCCACCCAAAAAAAAAACAAAAAAAAAAAAAAAAAAAAAAACCCAGCUGUUAAAAACUUUAGAAGAAACAAGUCCAAAGACCUUGAAAGAAAAGAGAUUUCAAACAGCUUGGACAACUGGCAGGGGGCUAAGAAAUUCCUUUUCAAAAAACACCUGUGCUUUCUCUGACUUUGGUUAUCUCUAUACAGCCUAGGUAGAUUUUUCACUAAGAGAGACAGCAAGUACAGCCCUACAAAUAUGUAGUGCAAAGAGAACACAUUGUAUUUAUGUACAGAUACACACAAUUGCAACAAAAACAUCAAGCUAUGUUUUGCAACUGUAGAUAUGACCUGCCUGACAAUUUGUUUUUCCAACUAAUAGCUUGUCAAAGGAAAACUAUCAAUACAAAGCUCAUUUGUCUUUAACAUUUGCAUGCUAUUAAAAACAUAACAGAUCACUAAAAUCAAAAUGAUUUUACACUUGAUCCUUCCAGGUCUCUUUAUGUUUCAUCUCCUUUUAGCAGCAAGAUGAAACCUAAUCAGCAGCUGCAGAAACUGGGGGGAGUUUAAGGUACUGUAGGGAAUGUUGCAAGCCAACACAUGCUCCUUCAGUAAAUACUGCACUCACAGAAGAAUUUGUUUAAUAUUUGUACCCCAUCCAUGAUCCCAUAUGAGGGGUCAACCACUUGAGAGAACAUCUAUUGGGAAUGGCUAGGAGUUGCAGCCAUGCCUUUUUUCAAUUGCUGACCCUUUAGGUCAUGCCAGAGAGACUCAGGUUCAGUUCCUGACUUGACAACAAAUGUUCUCUGUGAAUUUGAGUGAGCCACUCCUUAUCUAACCUUCUGUACAUGGCCACUAACAUGUUUGUGAAGUUACCACAAAAUAUUGCCAAAUAUCAAUUCUAGUGAUCUGCACAGAAGCGCACGAAUACAGAAAGCAAAGGGUCACCCCUUUGUCUCAACUCUCACGAAACUGGAGACAAGACAACCUUUCACCUAUGGAGGAUUUAUUCUAUGCAAACUGGGCACACAUCAGACAUGUUUAUGAAAGUGCAUGGCAACACCACCAUUUGCAACCCUUUAAGUUUAGGAACUACUCUUGAUGUUAUAUAUUUCUAUCUAUAUCUAUAUCCACUCAAAUUGUCCCUACCUAUGUUUAUUACUAUUUGCUGCUGAAUACAGAAUAGAAGCAGAAGAGUGCUGAAGAAGUAUUCAGCCCCCCCUUGGUGGACAGACUUCAGAUCCUAUUCCUGAUUCACACUAGCAGAAAUGAAAUCACCAUCAGGACCAGUAUUGGGGCCAAAUUGCUGGUAGGCAAAAUGAACCACUAAUUGCUGGAUUCAUUAGUAAGACUCAUAGUUUGUCCCUAUGAGAUGCUGAAUACUUUCAGCUCCUUUUAAAACCUUGCAUCUUAGAAAUUAAAAUUAACAACAGCAAACUAGUAUUUUUGUUACACUGUAGAAACUCAGCAGGAAUUUGAAGUCAGAUCACAGGAAAGCUAAAAUUCUAUUAUGCAAAAUUAGGCAGAUUUUUAUCUACCCCUUCCCUGUUAAUUCUGGAGAACACGCAUGCAACCACACACAAUAGGUACUCCAUGCUGUUCGUCAAGCUUAAACAAUUGGUUAAAAUAGUUUUUGUAAUGCUGACAACUGCUUCACAAAAUACCUUUAAAAUCCCCCAGUACCACACUAUUAAGACCAACCUAUUAUUUUCAGGCAUAAAACAAAUGCCUAUUUAAGAACACAUCCAAAUGUGUUUCUGUCAUUCAGCCAGAGCACUUUCACCUCCCAGAAGCUGACACUGUAAGAGAUGGAAAGAGAAACAGAGAGAGAGAAGAGACCUCCAGUCCACCUGCUGGCCUCACUGAAGGCAGUGAAUUCAGCUCAAGCUCAUGUCAAGUAGGUUCAACUGUGUCAAAGGUUACCCACAAGCUAUUUCGUAAUGAUUUAUAGCUGAUGUCUACAGAUCUCCUUUUAUUUCAGUGAUGACUUCAAUACAGAUGUAAAGACAUUCUUUGUCUUCAGAGAAGUGUAUGAGAGGGAGUUGACAUCUUUAAAAAAAGAAUUCUAAGAGACUGAUUCGCUUUUUCUGAACAGGGCCAGCCAUGGGCAGUUUUCAUAUCUUAGCCAAAAAAAAAAAAAAAAAAAAGGGAAAAAAAAAACCCCUUUGCCUUUUUCUCCUAUGCUAAAGCUGCUAUGUUACUGUGACUUAUUCUGGGCAUAAAUCCUAAAGCACUGACUCAAUGUGUAUGUCACCAGUUAAUUAUCACCAAGACAAGACACUGGGGCACUUGGUAAGCAUUAGAUAAUUUUAUCUCGUCACCAGUAAUAACAUGUAUUUAUACAGCAUUAUUUUGCUCUGCUUGAGCCCAAAGGGAUUUACAAAGUGAGUCCCAAAAGAUACCACCAUGGGAAUCCUUCCAGCCAGCACUGAGCCACCAUCGUUUGGGGGUGAGGAACAGCGGCACAGGAAAGGCAGUAGCAGGACAUACCACAUCAAUUUGGGAUUGCUGAUGUCACCCCGCUGAAACUGCUGAGAGCUGACCAAAUGUGAGACUUUUUUUAACCUCAGCUUUAGUGUGUGUGUGAGUGUGCACAAGGUCUGUGUGUAUGUAUGCGCUGAAUUUUCCUGACCCCAAGUUUGGUCUGUGCCUUUACAGAAAAUGUUGAAGGCAGACUAUUCACUUAUUCAUAACAAAUAAUAAGCAAAUAGAGAUAAAUUAAUUAAUUUCAAUUAAUUAAUUGCAGAUUCUAUUUUCUGUAGACAUUUGAAAUUAGGAGGAGAGUACCCA